Molecule: ribosomal RNA, 262 nt
Filed under: uncultured bacterium
Lineage: Bacteria
Description: partial 16S ribosomal RNA
Rfam family: Bacterial small subunit ribosomal RNA
Source: RNAcentral
CGUAGAUGGCAAGCGUUGUCCGGAUUUAUUGGGCGUAAAGCGAGCGCAGGCGGUUCUUUAAGUCUGAUGUAGAAACGCCCCCAGCUCAACGUGGGGGAAGGUCAUUGGAAAACUGGGGGAACUUGAGUGCAGAAGAGGAGAGUGGAAUUCCACGUGUAGCGGUAGAAAUGCGUAGAUAUGUGGAGGAACACCAGUGGCGAAGGCGACUCUCUGGUCUGUAACUGACGCUGAGGCUCGAAAGCGGUGGGGAGCAAACAGGAUU